RNAcentral lists this ribosomal RNA (406 nucleotides) under uncultured bacterium. RNAcentral describes it as "partial 16S ribosomal RNA". It matches the Rfam family "Bacterial small subunit ribosomal RNA", at positions 30 to 526 of the family's 1533-position model. The record is from RNAcentral.
AUUGAACGCUGGCGGCAGGCCUAACACAUGCCAGUCGAGCGAGCGGCGGACGGGUGAGUAAUGUCUGGGGAUCUGCCCGAUAGAGGGGGAUAACUACUGGACACGGUGGCUAAUACCGCAUACUAUCGGAUGAACCCAGAUGGGAUUGGCUAGUAGGUGGGUUAACGGCUCACCUAGGCGACGAUCUCUAGCUGGUCUGAGAGGAUGAUAAGCCACACUGGAACGUAGACACGGCCCAGACUCCUACGGUAGGCAGCAGUGGGUAAUAUUGCACAAGGGGCGCAAGCCUGAUGCAGCCAUGCCGCGUGUAUGAAGAAGGCCUUAGGUGUGUAAAGUACUUUCAGCGGGGAGGCGUUACCCGCAGAAGAAGCACCGGCUAACUCCGUGCCAGCAGCCGCGGUAAUAC